GAUAAACGCUGGCGGCGUGCCUAACACAUGCAAGUCGAACGCGCUUUUCUCGCGAGAGGGGAGCGAGUGGCGGACGGGUGAGGAACACAUGGGUACCUACCUUGAAGUGAGGGAUACCGGCGAGAAAUCGCCGACAAUACCGCAUAGGCUCUUUUUGCAAGAGAGAGCAAAGUUUCUCGCAAGGGAGACGCUUUGGGAUGGGCCUGUGGCCGAUUAGCUAGCUGGUGGGGUAACGGCUCACCAGGGCGACGAUCGGUAGCUGGUCUGAGAGGACGAUCAGCCACACUGGGAUUGAGAACGGCCCAGACUCCUACGGGGGCAGCAGUGAGGAAUUUUCCGCAAUGGGGGCAACCCUGACGGAGCAACGCCGCGUGCAGGAAGACGGCCUCGGUUGU
This 395-nucleotide ribosomal RNA is filed under the name uncultured bacterium. RNAcentral describes it as "bacterial SSU rRNA". It matches the Rfam family "Bacterial small subunit ribosomal RNA", at positions 28 to 426 of the family's 1533-position model. The record is from RNAcentral.